UAGCCUUGACAUAAUUAAGAAUACUUUAGAGAUAGAGUAGUGCCUUCGGGAGCUUUUUUACAGGUGCUGCACGGCCGUCGUCAGCUCGUGUCGUGAGAUGUUGGGUUAAGUCCCGUAACGAGCGCAACCCCUAUCCUUAGUUGCCAGCACGUAAUGGUGGGAACUCUAGGGAGACUGCCGGUGACAAACCGGAGGAAGGUGGGGAUGACGUCAAGUCAUCAUGGCCCUUAUGGGCUGGGCUACACACGUGCUACAAUGGCCGGUACAGAGGGUUGCCAACCCGCGAGGGGGAGCUAAUCCCAGAAAGCCGGUCGUAGUCCGGAUUGGAGUCUGCAACUCGACUCCAUGAAGU
Molecule: ribosomal RNA, 352 nt
Filed under: uncultured bacterium
Lineage: Bacteria
Description: bacterial SSU rRNA
Rfam family: Bacterial small subunit ribosomal RNA
Source: RNAcentral